RNAcentral lists this long non-coding RNA (1328 nucleotides) under Equus asinus (donkey). Its description in RNAcentral is "lncRNA (ENSEASG00005029443.1)". Lineage: Eukaryota; Metazoa; Chordata; Mammalia; Perissodactyla; Equidae. The record is from RNAcentral.
GACGCUGGGCUGCACACCUAAGGAGAUGAAGGCGGGUACCGCCAGCAGGGCCUCCACGGCUCCGUGUCUUUGGUCCCCUUGUGCCCCCCCGCUGUCCCCCGUGUGGCAGUGUGGCCCUGGGACAUCCUCUCUCCAGGCAGGGGCCACUGUAGUGGGGUGCCUCUCACUGUGAGCGCCCAGAGCCGCUGGUGGGUUAGAGGGGGGUCAGGGGUACAUGCCUGGGCACACUGGGACAUUUCAUUUAAAGUCCCGGUCCCCCAGGCUGGUGGUGUCUACCAAUGUGAAUCUUUUCAAGCUGGAGAAAAGGAGUGAAUUGAGGAAGCAGUGGACCAACCCCUGAACCCUGCUAGCCUGGCCUUUCUUCACCAAUUUCUCUUAGUGCUGUUAAAAAAAGAUUGAAGAAGAUAAUUUAGGUGAUAUACACAAAUUUUAACACUUCAUGAGGCAGACAGUCUCCUUUCAGAGAACUACAAAUUGGGGCAGAAUGCAAGGACGUUUUACGGGAUAAAGAAUAAGGAACAGGAAGAGACCAAUAUAAAAUAUCUGACCGGCUGGGGCUGAAAGAGGCUCAACACAAGGUUGACAUAAGCGAAGCCAUAUUGUAGAAAAGAGACCAUGUCAUAACUUUGAAUGACCUCUGACCAGCUAACCCAGCUGGAUUUGCACCCUCCAGGACAUCCACCUGAUCUGUAUUUUAUGACCCCUGCUAGUGCAUUUACCUCCCAGCUGCGAUAAGACGAUAACUUUGUUCUUUUGAGAUCCUUAGGAACGUGACGACCCCCCAAACAGUCUGUGCUGAUAGCCAUCAUCAAUGAAACUGAAAGAGCUGGUGUGGCGAUUCCCAGUCUGUAACACCAGAAGGUCAACAUUCCUAAACCGUCCCCUAUAACCCACUGGCCUAUAUAACUGCUUCCAGAUUCUGUGCCCCCUUAAGGUGGUUCUUUUGGACAUUAGUCGGCCAUCUUCCCUCUUACUACCAAGCUGUAAUAAAAUGCCCUUUCUCUGCCACCAUCUUGCAUCGUGACGAUUGGCUUUUGUCUUGUGGCGAGCAGAUCGUGCCCUUUGUGCAGUAACAGGGCCACAUGGAUUACCCACCAGCAUCUCUCUUUGUACCUGCUGAUCUAUUGAUAUGAGAGACCUAAAGGCCAGGCGGAGGUCACAGCCUCCUGUUAGUGGACCUCCUGCCUCAGGAAACAAGACCUUGAAUCUAGCCUAAAUUUGUGCGCAAAGAAGGAAGAGUGGGACUCUGGGAGUGAUGGGGAGAGAAGCUAAUUCUACUUGACCCUUGGCUCCUGGACCUGUGUAAUACGGCUUUGGGGAUUGAGAGA